UAUGGCAGAUUAGUGCGUUGGAUUUAAAUUCCUCUCAUAAAGAAAUUCACUCUUUUAUUAAAA
Molecule: transfer RNA, 63 nt
Filed under: Temnothorax pergandei
Lineage: Eukaryota; Metazoa; Arthropoda; Insecta; Hymenoptera; Formicidae
Description: tRNA-Leu
Source: RNAcentral